CCUACGGGGGGCAGCAGUGAGGAAUAUUGGUCAAUGGGCGCGAGCCUGAACCAGCCAAGUAGCGUGAAGGAUGACUGCCCUACGGGUUGUAAACUUCUUUUAUAAAGGAGUAAAGUGAGGCACGUGUGCCUUUUUGUAUGUACUUUAUGAAUAAGGAUCGGCUAACUCCGUGCCAGCAGCCGCGGUACUACGGAGGAUCCGAGCGUUAUCCGGAUUUAUUGGGUUUAAAGGGAGCGUAGAUGGGUUGGUAAGUCAGGUGUGAAAGUUUGCGGCUCAACCGUAAAAUUGCAAUUGAUACUGGCAGCCUUGAGUACAGGAGAGGUAGGCGGAAUUCCUGGUGUAGCGGUGAAAUGCGUAGAUAUCAGGAAGAACUCCGAUGGCGAAGGCAGCCUACUAGACUGAAACUGACAUUGAGGCUCGAAAGCGUGGGUAGCAAACAGGAUUAGAUACCCGAGUAGUC
Molecule: ribosomal RNA, 460 nt
Filed under: uncultured bacterium
Lineage: Bacteria
Description: partial 16S ribosomal RNA
Rfam family: Bacterial small subunit ribosomal RNA
Source: RNAcentral